UGCCUGGCGGCUUUAGCGCGGUGGUCCCACCUGACCCCAUGCCGAACUCAGAAGUGAAACGCCGUAGCGCCGAUGGUAGUGUGGGGUCUCCCCAUGCGAGAGUAGGGAACUGCCAGGCAUU
Molecule: ribosomal RNA, 121 nt
Filed under: Pantoea agglomerans
Lineage: Bacteria; Pseudomonadati; Pseudomonadota; Gammaproteobacteria; Enterobacterales; Erwiniaceae
Source: RNAcentral